Molecule: ribosomal RNA, 163 nt
Filed under: Tetraena simplex
Lineage: Eukaryota; Viridiplantae; Streptophyta; Magnoliopsida; Zygophyllales; Zygophyllaceae
Description: 5.8S ribosomal RNA
Rfam family: 5.8S ribosomal RNA
About the family: 5.8S ribosomal RNA (5.8S rRNA) is a component of the large subunit of the eukaryotic ribosome. It is transcribed by RNA polymerase I as part of the 45S precursor that also contains 18S and 28S rRNA. Functionally, it is thought that 5.8S rRNA may be involved in ribosome translocation.
Source: RNAcentral
AACGACUCUCGGCAACGGAUAUCUCGGCUCUCGCAUCGAUGAAGAACGUAGCAAAAUGCGAUACUUGGUGUGAAUUGCAGAAUCCCGUGAACCAUCAAGUUUUUGAACGCAAGUUGCGCCCGAAGCCUUCGGGCUGAGGGCACGUCUGCCUGGGUGUCACGCA